This 368-nucleotide ribosomal RNA is filed under the name uncultured bacterium. RNAcentral describes it as "bacterial SSU rRNA". It matches the Rfam family "Bacterial small subunit ribosomal RNA", at positions 525 to 896 of the family's 1533-position model. The record is from RNAcentral.
ACGUAGGGUGCGAGCGUUAUCCGGAUUUACUGGGCGUAAAGUGUAUCGUCGGCGUCUUGAUAAGUUUUUCGUUCAAGCCUAGGGCUCAACUCUAGACCAGCGAGAAAAACUAUCUUGAUUGAGUCUGUUCGGGGGAACUGGAACACUCGGUGGAGGGGUGAAAUCCGUAGAUAUCGAGUGGAACACCAAUAGCGAAGGCAGGUUCCUAGGGCAGCACUGACGCUCAUGAACGACAGCUAGGGGAGCAAAAGGGAUUAGAGACCCCUGUAGUCCUAGCCGUAAACAAUGGAUGCUAGAUACCCCGCUCUGCGGGGCGUCGUAAGCUAACGCGUUAAGCAUCCCGCCUGGGGAUUACGACCGCAAGGUUA